GCACACAGCUUAGCACAAAGCAGGCCUCAGAUGCACGCUGGACAAAUGUGCUGGUAUCCUCUGCAUCCUUAUGGCCAGCAUGAUCCAUCCAGAAACCCAGCGGAACUGAGCCGCGAGCUGGAUUCCAGCUCACAGAACACACCAAGAACUCUGGGGGUUCCCCCCAGAAAAAUCUGGGGGGCACUGCAGAGCUUCUGACACGGCUCUGGGGGAAAUCCCACACGGAUGGGCAGCUCCCUGCAUCUGGCACUGUGGAGAUGGGCGGGCAGCCAUGGAGGAUGGGGAGACUCAUCUUUCUAGACUUCUCCUGGGGACCGCAUUUCCUCCAGCCUCCAGGUCCAGACCAAAAUAGAAUGAGGUAAAUUCAGCCCCUUUCCUGCAGCACACUCAAGGAAUAAACAAGCACCACAAAUACA
Molecule: non-coding RNA, 416 nt
Filed under: Pan troglodytes (chimpanzee)
Lineage: Eukaryota; Metazoa; Chordata; Mammalia; Primates; Hominidae
Source: RNAcentral